Molecule: long non-coding RNA, 20311 nt
Filed under: Arabidopsis lyrata
Lineage: Eukaryota; Viridiplantae; Streptophyta; Magnoliopsida; Brassicales; Brassicaceae
Description: long non-coding RNA (ALYR_LNC003445)
Source: RNAcentral
AUAAAGAUAUUUGUGAAGUAGUCUCUGGUUAUACAACUGUAAGUUUUUCCAUUAUUCUUUCAUUGCAGUGCUCACCAUAACUUGAGUUUAUUUUAUCAUCUCUACUUAUCUUUGGGUCUUUUUUCUCAGAAUACUGGAAGUGUUGUAGGCAUAGACUCCGAUUCUUGGUUAAAUAUAACUGAGAAAGCCUUUGAAGGAAUGCCUAAUCUCCAGUUCUUAAGAGUCGUCGUAUACAAUUUUGAUCAUCCAAACAUUAUAUCUUCUUCGGGACCUCUGACUUUUAUAUCUUCGAAGCUACGAUUAAUAGAGUGGUGGUAUUUUCCGAUGACAUCUUUGCGUUUUAUUAAUAAUCUGGAAUUCCUUGUCGAAUUAAAAAUGCGUUACAGCAAACUUGAGAAGCUGUGGGACGGAAUCAAAGUAAGUCAUUUAAAUUUUAGUUUUGUAUGUAGAAUAUCCUCUCUUGUACAUUAAAUUAACUUGAAAAAUUAUAUUUUACUUGCCACUUCGUUUCUAGCAUGAAAAUAUAUAUAUAUUUUAAAAUUUUAUGUGUUCCAAUUGCUAAGUGUAAUGUGUUCCAAUUUUAUGUGUUAAAUUUUUAUGUAUAAUUGUGUAUAUUUUGUCUCCAUCUUUCUUUACAGCUGCUUAAGAAUCUCAAGCGUAUGGAUUUGUCAUAUUCCAGAAACCUGAAGGAGCUUCCUAAUCUUUCAAUGGCCACUAGUCUUGAGAAGUUAAAACUUAGUGGAUGUUCAAGUCUGGUGGAGCUCCCUUCUUCUAUUGGGAAUUCAACUAAUCUCUCCACAUUCAAACUUGAUGGAUUUAGUCUAGUGGAGCUCCCUUCUUAUGUUGGUAAUUUAACUAAUCUCCAGGAAUUAUCACUUAGUGGAUGCUCAAGGCUUGUAUCACUCCCACAGCUUCCAGAUUCCUUAUUGCGCCUAAAUGCAAACAAUUGUGAGUCCCUAGAGAAACUAGACUGCUCCUUUUGCAAUCCAUAUAUUUGGCUUCACUUCGCUAACUGCUUCAAACUAAAUCAAGAAGCAAGAGAUCUCCUCACCGAGACAUCAAAUGUUAAAUUGUAAAGAAGUGCCUGCGUGCUUCACUUACAGAGGUUAUGGGAAUUCCGUAACAGUGAAGUUGAAUCAAAAGCCUCUUCCUACAUCAACCAAAUUUAAGGCUUGCAUCUUAUUUGGUAACAAUGGCGAAAAUGACGUUAGUUAUAUUUAUUGGGACACAACAUGUGUGUAUACGAAGAAGAAUAAGGGUUGCAUCUUGUUGGAUAAUAAGGGAGAACAUGAGGAACGAGGGUCGGUGUCUUGUCGCAUCAGACACAAACCGAAUGGUUUCUUAAAUUACUAUCCAGUUAUAACGGAGCAUCUAUACAUUUUCGAAGUUGAAGUAGAGGAGGUGACUUCCACAGAGCUUUUUUUUUAUUUCGAGAUCUUCAAAGAGGAUUCCAGGACUAUGGAGAUAAAAGAAUGUGGGAUAAUCCACAUCUUGGAACAUCAUGUUGAUGGCGACGAAAAGAUGGCGAUGAAGAUGGAGACAAUGUAGAUCUGAGACAAACAUUGAAACUCAAGUCAAACAGAGAAGCCACAAGACAAAAUUGCAAGGACGAAUGGUAAGUUUGCAUUUUCACAACUCAAGAACUUACUUUGUUGAUAAACUUUGCAUAACAACUGUUCAAUGAAAUGUCUAAGUGAGCUUUUUAAGUUUAAAGUGACAAUAGCUAGAACUGCAAUCUCCAAAAUGAUUUUUGAAUUCAAUCGUGUAGGGUUUAGAGCUGGAGCUUAAGAAACUCUUGAAGGUGAAGUUGAAGACGUCCAUGAAGAUCUAUUUAAGAAACAGGUACAAAACUUAUACAUUCUUUUGAUUUAUGUGUUUUGUUUGUCUUCUCAAUUCAUGACAAUACAAAUAUAAAUUGUUUGUGAUAUUUUAGAUGUUCAGUAAAUUUCUUUUGGAUCUGAUUAAUUUUUGCUCUAGGCACAAGUAAAGUCGUUUCAAUAUGCAUUUGUCAAGUUAAUUGUGUCUUUUACGGUAUGGCUUGACCCACAUGUUCCUCUCUGUUUCUCAUUUGAAUAAUCAGUUUUUCCUGAUUGGUAUUCACUACUGUUAUUUCAUAUACUGCUUGAAAAAUUCUCAAAUUCUUUGAACUUGUGUUUAGUGCUCUAGUUGCUCUCUGUUAAUUCAGAUUUGGAUAAUUAGUUGUCCUGUUUCAGUAUUACUUAACUGUAUUCCUUAAAUUGGUUAGAUAUAGUUUUGCUGAAUGUAUAACGAUUGCUAGUACCUUCGUGAAAUGGUUUUGAAUCUGUUUGUGUAAUGUCAAAGCCAGAAGCCGAGAACGUAGCAAAAGUUAAGAUGGUUAAGAGUCUUUUAGGUAUGUUGUGUGCCUUCAGCUUCUCGUUUAUGUCUCAGAAUGCCUUCAUGCUAAUGAGAUGACUUUAUUUUGUAGGUGAACUAUUACAGUUGGCCUCUUGAAAUUCUAUUAUCAUUUAUACAUUUUCGACAUUGAAGCAGAGGAGGUGACUUGCACCGAGCUUGUUUUUACGUUCGAGGACAGAAAUUCCACAUACCUGAAAGCUUGGGAGAUAAAAGAAUGUGGGAUACUUUUAACUUCGGAGCGUCAUAUUGAUGACUUAUGAGAGCUUGGGAGAACCACACACCCUUAGCCCACGCGCAGGCUGGUUUUGUCACUCUGAUGUGUUUCCAAGUCUCACCAGUAGAGAAGUUUUUCUUAAAACCUGACGUCCGCUACAUUUCGUCUGCUUCUCGAUUUUGCCUCUUCUAUCCCAGCUUCAAUUCUGGUCAAUAAAUCCACACGGUGUCUCCUACUACGUCGAGUCAGAAACACGUCUUCCAUAGUCAUAGUCUUAGUAAAUCCCAGAUCAAUGCAUCCUCUGUCGCCCAAAACGUCGAAAAGAGGUCCCACGGAGGACUUGUGAUCAUACCAAAAAGAAGUGUUCUUACCACUUUGAAUUUCCAUCUUGUGGAAACUUUUUGCUAUCUCUUUCAGUUUGAAUAACAAAAAGAACCUUGGUAAGAAGAUUCUUUGACUGCCCAAAACGAGUUUUGCCAGAGGAGAUAAGUCUGAAUCCAUUGUCUUUUAGAGAGUGUUUUGUGGAUUCAGCUUCUCGUUUAUGACGUCUAUAUGACUAAGAACUGUUACAAUUGUUUGUCAAACAUGUGAAGGUGAAGUUGAAGAUCUAAUUUACCUACUUAAGAAAUACUUAAUACAUUCUUUUGAUUUAUGUGUUUUGUUUGUCUUCUCCAUUCAUGGGCCAUGGCAACAUAUAAAAUAUGUUUGUGAUAUUAAGAUGUUGGUUAAAAAUUCUUUUGAUUUAUGUGUUUUGUUUGUGAUAAACACAUAUAAAAAAUGUUUUUGAUAUUUAGAUGUUCGUUAAUAAUUCUUUUGGACAAAUAUGCAUUUGCCAAGUGAAUUGUGUCUUUUACGAUAUGGCAGAAGAGAAAUCACACAACUAUAUGUCAACUUUAACAAAAUGGAGAUUUAGACAAAGCUCUUCUCUUAUUACAUGAACAUGGCACAUUACACUAGAUAUCACAUCCACACAAGCUUUAUAAGACGAAAAAGGACUAAUUUUUUUUAAUAACGCCAACCAAAACUUGAUUCAAGCAAGAAGUCCAAAAAAAUUCCAUUUUCCUGAAUAAAAAAUAAUAAUUUAGAUGGAAUGUGAUAAAGACUGAAAUCAAUAAAAAGAAAGACAAAUACCUUGCGCAUUAGUAGCAGGAGGACUAGCAGGAGACACUGCAACCAAAACAAAACAAAACAAAAAUCUCUAUUAAUCAGAUAAUCAUAUAACUACAAAAGGAAUUAAAUCAUAAUCCAUAAAAAAUCAAGAAGAAAUCUAACAUGCACCACAAGCUGCCACCGGAGGAGCAUAAACUUUACAAGCAUCGGGAAGAGUAGUAGCCUUAGUAACGUUAAGUUUGAUUCCGUAAGAGGCAGUGUUCUUCAACCCUUCGCAUCAGUGCCGGCCCGGUAAAUUUGGGUGCCCUAAGCAAAAUUAAAGCCAUAAAAAAAAAAUUCUUUUAAAUUAGAUUUUUACCAUUAAAAAAAAUGUUGUAGUUGUCUCUAAAAGCCAACAAUAUUUUUAAAAGGCCCUACAAAAAUUAUUGUAUAUAAGGAAAACUUAACAAGUUUUUAGGUAAAAAGGCCCUCAAAUUUUGAGGCCCUAAUCGGUGGCUUCGGUGGCUUGCCCUCUGCGCCGGCCCUUCUUCGUAUAGACAUUCCGGUUCCGUAUCGAGGAUAUUCUUGAGACUGGAGCAGCACGAAUUUGAGGGUGUAUCCAUCGUACUCCCGAUCGUUAUAAAUGAUAAACAUGGGAACAGGGGAACAACAAGGGUACACCCGGAGGCUGGUAUAAUGUUUCCAUGAACAUAAGGAGAGGAAACAGAGAGGACUAGGAGGAGAAGAGAUGUUGCUGCGGAGAAGAAAGCCAUUGUUUUGGUUCUCUGUUUUGGUUACUGCUUAAGAAUCUAGAGAGAAGAAAAUGAGAAUUGUGGUAGAGAAUGAGUGAAAUGUGCUGUGUUUAAAUAUGGGUUUGAGUGAUAAAGACGACGUCGUUUUGGUGUACACGUCAUGUGUAACUUGUAAUUUUUUGGUUCUUUUAGUGUAAGAUUCUGCUCAUUUUUAUUUGGAUUUUAUCCUAUAUUAAGAGCUUUUUAUCAUUGAAAUUAAAGUUGUUACCAAAAUGAUUAGAUUUGUUAGAAGAAUACAGAAGAAAAAAAAAAAGUAGAAAAAUAAAAAUGUAAUUUCUAAAAACGUUGGUGAAAAAAAUAAAAAAAAAUUUCUUAAAACGCUUUUCUAAGUAGAAGGAUUUGUAUUCAUACUUUGCUUUGCUGUAUGUAUUUCUUAGAUUUUGUUUUUUUUCUGCUGUAACCUUCUGUCAAAAUCUAUAAAUGGUAUAAAACUUAACAUUCAUACCAAAAAACAAAAGUUUAUAUGCUAAGAUAUUUAUUUUUUUUAUGUUAAAGUUGCUAAGAUUUUCUUUUUAACUGUCUUGGUUUAUAUGUCUUGGUUCUGAGUCUUUUCGAGAGUGUUGUGUGGAUUCAGCUUCUCGUUUAUGUCGUCUGUAUGACUAAGAACUGUUACAAUUGUUUGUCAAACAUGUAAUAAACUUGAAGGUGAAGUUGAAGAUCUAAUAUACCUACUUAAGAAACAGGUACAAGACUUAUACAUUCCUUUGAUUUAUGUGGUUUGUUUGUCUUCUCCAUUCAUGGCAACACAUAUACAAAAUGUUUGUGAUAUUUGCCAAGUGAAUUGUGUCUUUUACGAUAUGGCAGAAGAGAAAUCACACAACUAUAUAUCAAAUUUAACAAAAUGGAGAUUUUGACAAAGCUCUUCUCAUAUUACAUGACCAUGGCACAUUACACUAGAGAUCACAUCCACACAAGCUUUAUAAGACGAAAAGGGACUAAAUAUUUGUUAUAACGCAGACCAAAACUUGAUUCAAGCAAGAAGUCCAAAAAAAUUCCAUUUCCCUGAACAUAAAAUAAUAAUUUAGAUGGCAGGAUUAAACAUUAUAAUAAGUUAUCAAGAAUGAAAUGUGACUAAGAAUGAAAUCAAUAAAAAGAAAGACAAAUACCUGGCGCAUUAGCAGCAGGAGGACUAGCAGGAGACACUGCAACCGAAACAAAACAAAGUUUCUAUUAAUCAGAUAAUCAUAUAACUACAGAAGAAAUUAAACCAUAAUCUGAUUUAUCGUAAGGAUCAUAAUCCAUAAAAAUCAAGAAGAAAUACAGAGAGAUGAAGGAGAAAUCUAACAUGCACCACAAGCUGACGCCGGAGGAGCAUUAACUUUACAAGCAACGGGAAGAGUAGUAGCCUUAGUAACAUUAAGUUUUAUUCCGUAAGAGGCACUGUUCUUCAACCCUUCGCAUAGACAUUCCGGUUUCGUAUCGAGAAUAUUCUUGAGACUGGAGCAGCACGAACUUGAGGGUGUAUCCACCGUACUCCCGAUCGUUAUAAAAGAUAAACAUGGUAACAGGGUAACAACAAGGGUGGUGCACUCGUCGGCUGGUACAAUGUUUCCAUGAACAUAAGGAGAGGAAACAGAGAGGACGAGGAGGAGAAGAGAUGUCGCAGCGGAGAAGAAAGCCAUUGUUUUGAUUCUCUGUUUUGGUUACUGCUUAAGAAUCUAGAGAGAAGAAAAUGAGAAUUGUGAUAGAAUGAGUGAAAUGUGUUGUGUUUAAAUAUGGGUUUAAGUGAUAGAGACGACGUCGUUUUUAUGUACACGUCAUGUGUUAACACGUCAUUUUUUGGUUCUUUCUGUGUAAGAUUCUGCUCAUUUUUAUUUGGAUUUUAUCCUAUAUAAAGAGCUUUUUAUCAUCGAAAUUAACGUUAUUACCAAAAUGUUUAGAUUUUAAAGAAGAAAAAAAAAAAAAAACAGAAAAAUAAAAAUGUAAUUUCUUAAAACGCUUUUCUUAAAGUAGAAAGAUUUGUAUUCAAACUUUGCUUUACUGUAUAUACUACUUAGAUUUUGUUUUUUUCUGCUGUAAUCUUCUGUCAAAAUCUAUAAAUGGUAUAAAACUUAACAUUUAUACCAAAAAAACAAAAGUUUAUAUGCUAAGAUUUUCUUUUUAACUAACUUGGUUUAUAUGUUUAAAGACUAAUUAAUUAAAUAUAGUAAACAAGUUUUAUCAUUUUGCAUACAAUUAUUCAGUGGGUCAGUUUCUCAUUGUAUUUAAGAUAAGAGAUUGGUUCGGUUUGCACAAAAAAAUGGAGAUUGGUUCAAACUUCAAAUGUUGAAACCUGCGUGUUGUUGUUAUUGAAUUUAAAAAAUUAAAAAACUUUUUUUUUUCUUUCUCAAUGUCAAAACUAUGAGUUCUUUCGCAUAAAGAAUGAAAACAAAAUUAAUGUAACAAAAAUAGUUAAAGAAUAUCACAUAUUUUCGAUAUCUUUCAAGAUUUGAAUAAUUAGUUUUUCCAGAUUUAGUAUUACUUAAUUCUAGUCCUGAAAUGUAGUUUUACUGAAUGUAUAACGAUUGCGCUUAACUUUGUGAAACGGGUUUGAAUAUGUUUUAAUAAUUAAUGCAAAGCGAGAACAUAGCAAAAAGUUAGAAUGGUUAUGAGUCUUUUAGAGUAUGUUGUGUGGCUUCAGCUUCUCGUUUAUGUUCUCGUAUGACCGAGGUCUGAGGACAUGCUAUUUUAUUUUAUAUGAAAUGACUUCUUUUUUUUGAUGAACUAUUACAAUUGGCCUCUUGAAAUUCAAUUAGUGUCAUGUUAAAAAAAAAGUAAAAUCUAAAUGGGACUAAAAAAACAACUAUUGAAUAAGGGGUACUGGGUGGCAAGGGACCUAAACAUUACAACAAGUGCAACUGUUUGGAGUAGUGUUUGACAUAAGAGUAGAAGGGGUUUACAAGUUAUCUCCUAGUAGAAAGCCAAAAGAAGAAUAAAUCACCAUAUUUUGCAUUCCCGGAAGAUGGGAAUGUUCGUGUUGAUGUUUUUCCAAGGCUUGAUGUUGUUUGAGGUUCUUUACCAUGUCUUUUGUUAUUUCUCUCCCUCCAUAUGGUAUGGACUGCAAUUUGAAACGUUUAUCGCAGAAGUAAAAGAGCCUUCUUUUUGGUUGUCUCAUAUGUUAUGAGCAAAAUGAUUUGAUCCCAAUCCAGAAGUAUCUACAGGUGUGACUAUCUUGAAGUAUCCCUUUUACUAACUCCUCCCAUAUUUGUCUUGUAUACGGGCAUUGAAAGAAGAGGUGGUGUCUUGUCUCAACCGGUUCCUGACAAAACGCACAAGAUGUAUUCACUUGGGUCUUCCACUUCACCACUCGUUCACCUGUAGAUAAUUUGUCAUGCUUUGCAAGCCAUGUAAUAAAAGCGUAUUUAAGCGUAGCUUCAGAUUGUUCGAGUUUUUCAGGUCUUGAUUUAAGAAAUGAUCAAAAUUAUAACAAAAUUCAGAUUUAAUUGGAUUUGGUUUAAGUUUGGAUGAAAAUUUAGUUAAAUAAUGAUUAAUUAUAUGUAAUUCAUAUUAUAUUUUAAUAUAUGUUAAUUUUAUAUAUGAAAACUGAAAUAUUAACUGAAAUAUUUCGAUGUGGAAAUUUAUGUACUUUUCAUAGUAUUAUAAAAUUUGGUUUGGUUUCACCUUAGUAAAUUUUUGUGAUCGAACCAAAUAAACAUGUAUUAAUAUAUAUUCAUAUUCGGUUCGGUAUAAUAAUUUAUAGAUCACUAGUAACAAAAUUGGUUUGGUUUCACGUUGAUGAAUUUUUGUAACACAACCAAAUAAAACUUCAUUAAUUAACCUUUUUACAUCAUGACUAAAAAAAUUUCAAUUUAUUUAUAAAUUCUAAACUAGAAUUUCAGAAGAAAAUAUAUUAAAUUUCAAUUUUUCAUUGUGGUUUCUUUCAUAGAAUUAGAGUGUCAUAUGUCGUAACCAAUUGCUGAGUUAUUUAUUGGGUUCUGCAAAAAAAAAAAUAACUCUCCACCUCAAAAAUACAGAUAAAUCAUACGAAGUAAGAAAAAAAACAUAAUAUAAACUUUAUAUGUAUAUUGUAUAUGUUUUCACAAUCACAUACAAUAUAUAUUUUUUAGUUAUAAAUGUUGAGUUAAACUUCUCGUCGCGAAGGCUUCGAUUUAACAUAUUAAUCAUCAAAAUUUUACAAACUUGAGAGUAGCGGAAAAAUGUUAUAUUGCGUAUUAUAUUUAACUUCGUAGGAUUAAUUUGCAUUUUUGUAGGUGAAGAUAAAUUUGCAAAAAGUGGCUAGUUUGAAGAUUUUUAUUACGGAGACGGUAAGGUAUGAAAGUCAGUUGUUGCAAAUAAAAUGACCAAUUAAAUUUCUGAAAGGAAAUAUCAAGAAAUUUGAGAGUAUAAAUUAGAUGGAGAGAGAGAGAGAUAGCAAAUUUAGGAAUGUGAAACAAAGUCAACUGUUAAUGAGGGAUGUUUCCUCAUUAACAAAACCUUUUGGGAAUAACUCUUACUUAGUCUAAGCUAUAUUUUAAAUUUUAUGAGCAAUUGUGUUUUGUUUUGAGCUGUCAUGCUCUGUUUUCUGUUUUUGAAUCUUUCCUUUGAUUUUUAAUGUAGUUUACGAAAAAUUCGUACAGAACCGCUUCAUAUCACAUAUGUAAACAACAUUUUUCAUGAAUGGCUUUUUUGAGCUCUAAUUAAUUUCGGAUGACAAAAAAAAAAAAAAUGUAGUUUCAAAGCCCCCAGCGAAACACUAUGGAAAAUCUCCAAACGUUACUUCCUUUGUCAACUCUUGAUUUUGCGUAUAAGAAAAAGUCAUGAGAUUAAUAAGCCAAUCAAUCGGAUAUUUUGGAAUUUUUUUUCCUUUGUAGUAAGGUGAAAUAAUUGGUCGGUUGCAUUUUCUUAUUCAAACUAAAUUUCUCGGAGGAAAUAUCAAGGAAAUUCUAAAGAUAUUGUAUGUCAACGUUCUAGGCCUAUAUACAUUCAAGUUUUAAUCCUUACCCCCCAUUUAACUCUGUUAAAGAUAUUGUAUGUCAACGUUCUAGGCCUAUAUACAUUCAAGCUUUUUCCUCUUCUUAUUCUUCUGCUCCUUCGAUUCCUUCAUCUUCUUCGUCUCAAAACUGGGAGUACGAUGUCUUUCCCAGCUUCCACGGGAAAGAUGUACGCAAAGCCUUUCUCAGCCACGUUCUAAAGGAGUUUGGAAGAAAAGCAAUCAACUUUUUUGUUGAUAACGAGAUCAAGAGAGGAGAAUUCAUCGGUCCUGAACUCAAACGUGCGAUCAAAGGAUCUAAGAUUGCUCUUGUCUUGCUCUCCAAGAAUUACGCUUCUUCGUCAUGGUGUCUUGACGAAUUGGCGGAGAUAAUGAAGCAAGAGUCUGGUCAAACGGUGAUUACCAUUUUCUAUGAAGUAGAUCCAACGGAUGUGAAGAAGCAGAAGGGAGACUUUGGGAAGGUCUUCAAAAAAACUUGUAAAGGUAAAGACAAGGAGAAGAUUAAGACUUGGAGGAAAGCUUUGGAGGAUGUGGCCACAAUCGCAGGUUACCAUUCAAGCAACUGGUUCGUGUUCUUGAUUUAGCUUUUAAUAUUUCUAACUCAUCAUACUAUGUAGCAUACGAAACUGUAUGUAUACAAGAGAUUCAUAACUUUUGAACGUGUAUGUUAGUUCUUAGUGAUUAUUUAUUAACAAGAUGUAUGUAUGAAUUGUUCUUCGUCUUUGUUAGGGUUGAUGAAGCAGCCAUGAUUGAAAACAUCGCUGCUGAAAUUUCGAACAAGCUUAAUCAUUUGACACCAUUACGUGAUUUUGACUGUUUAAUUGGGAUGGAAGCUCAUAUGAAAAGGAUGGAACAGUAUUUACGUCUAGACUUGGAUGAAGUGAGGAUGAUUGGGAUUUGGGGUCCGCCUGGGAUUGGGAAGACCACAAUUGCCAGGUUUCUGUUUAACCAAGUUUCCAGCCGUUUCCAGAAUAGCGCACUCAUUGAGGACAUCAAAGGAAGCUAUCCGAAACCUUGUUUUGAUGAGUACAACGCAAAGUUGCAACUACAAUAUAAAAUGUUGUCUCGGAUGAUCAACCAGAAAGAUAUCAUGAUCCCUCAUUUAGGAGUCGCACAAGAACGAUUGAGAAAUAGGAACGUGUUUCUCGUUCUUGAUGAUGUGGAUCGGUUAGCACAACUAGAAGCCUUGACCAACAAUGUUCAGUGGUUUGGUCCUAGAAGUCGGAUUAUCAUCACAACAGAAGAUCGAAGUCUUUUGAACGCACAUGGGAUCAACCAUAUAUACAAGGUUGGUUUUCCAUCAAAUGAUGAGGCUCUUCAAAUGUUCUGCAUGUAUGCUUUUGGUCAAAAGUCCCCUAAAGACGGUUUUUAUGAACUUGCGCGUGAAAUUACAUACCUUGUCGGUGAACUUCCUUUAGGACUAAGGGUUAUUGGAUCCCACUUUCGUGGAUUGUCCAAGGAGCAGUGGUCAAUGGAAAUAUCAAGGUUAAGGACUAACCUUGAUGGAGAUAUUGAGAGCAUUUUGAAGUUCAGUUAUGAUGCUUUAUGUGAUGAAGAUAAAGAUUUAUUCCUUCAUAUAGCUUGCUUUUUCAACAACGAAAAUAUAAACAAAUUAGAAGAAUUUAUUGGCCAAAGAUUCAAGGAUUUGAGUCAAAGGCUAUUGGGAGAACCGGAGAUCGACCGAGAUCGACGAUCGAGAUGAUCGCCCAAGAUUACUCUCAUCAAUACCAUGAUAUCUUUACGUUUUAGAGGAGAAAUCUCUCAUAUCUAUUGAAAGAUUUCUUGAAUAUGUGAGUAUAAAAAUGCACAAUUUGCUGGCCCAACUAGGUAAAGAAAUCGUCCGUAAAGAAUCUCGUGAGCCUGGGCAACGCCGAUUUUUGUUUGAUAAUAAAGAUAUUUGUGAAGUAGUCUCUGGUUAUACAACUGUAAGUCUUUCCAUUAUUCUUUCAUUGCAGUGCUCACCAUAACUUGAGUCUAUUUUAUCAUCUCUACUUAUCUUUGGGUCUUUUUUCUCAGAAUACUGGAAGUGUUGUAGGCAUAAACUCCAAUUAUGGGUUAAAUAUAACUGAGAGAGCCUUUGAAGGAAUGCCUAAUCUCCAGUUCUUAAGAGUCGGAUACAAUACUCAUCAUCCAAACAUUAUAUCUUCUUCAGGACCUCUAAUUUUUAUAUCUCCGAAGCUACGAUUAAUAGAUUAGUGGUUUUUCCCGAUGACAUCUUUCCCUUUUAUUAAUAAUCUGGAAUUCCUUGUCGAAUUAAGUAUGCGUUAUAGCAAACUUGAGAAGCUGUGGGACGGAAUCAAAGUAAGUAAUUUAAAUUUUUUAAUUGUUUUAAAUUUUAGUUUUGUAUGUAGAAUAUCCUCUCUUGUACAUUAAAUUAACUUGAAAAAUUAUAUUUUACUUGCUACUUCGUUUCUAGCAUGAAAAUAUAUACAUUUUUUAAAUUUUAUGUGUUCAAUUGCUAAGUGUAUCAAAGUAAUUGUCUAUUUUGUCAUUAUUCUCCUUUACAGCUGCUUCGAAACCUCAAGUGUAUGGAUUUGGCAAAUUCUGAAAACCUGAAGGAGCUUCCUAAUCUCUCAAUGGCCACUAGUCUUGAGGAGUUAAACCUUGAAGGAUGUUCAAGUCUGGUGGAGCUCCCUUCUUCUGUUGGUAAUUUAACUAAUCUCCAGAAAUUAUCACUUGAAGGAUGCUCAAGGCUUGUAUCACUCCCACAGCUUCCAGAUUCCCCAAUGGUCCUAGAUGCAGAAAAUUGUGAGUCCCUAGAGAAACUAGAUUGCUCCUUUUACAAUCCAUGUAUUCAUCUCAACUUCGCUAACUGCUUCAAACUAAAUCAAGAAGCAAGAGAUCUCCUCAUCCAGACAUCAACUGCUAGAUUGGUGGUCUUACCCGGUAAAGAAGUUGAUACUUGCCACUUCGUUUAAUAUAGAUUAACUUGAAAGAUUAUAUUAUACUUGCCACUUCGUUUCUAGCAUGAAAAUGUAUCUUUUAAAAUUUUUGUGUUCAAUUGCUAAGUGUAUCAAAGUAAUUGUGUAUUUUGUCAUUAUUCUCCUUUACAGCUGCUUCGAAAUCUCAAGCGUAUGGAUUUGGCAUAUUCUGAAAACCUGAAGGAACUUCCUAAUUUCUCGAUGGCCACUAGUCUUGAGCAUUUAGAUCUUAGAGGCUGUUUAAGUCUGGAGGAGCUCCCUUCUUCUAUUGGAGAUUUAACUAAUCUAUGGAAAUUAGAUCUUAGAGGCUGUUUAAGUUUGGUGGAGGUCCCUUCUUCUAUUGGGGAUUUAACUAAUGUUUGGGAAUUAUAUCUUAGUGAAUGUUUAAGUUUGGUGGAGCUCCCUUCUUCUAUUGGGAAUUUAACUAAUCUCCAUGCAUUAGUACUUAAAGGAUGUUCAAGUCUAGUGGAGCUCCCUUCUUCUAUUGGGAAUUUAACUAAUCUCCAUAAAUUAUCACUUGAAGGAUGCUCAAGGCUUGUAUCACUCCCACAGCUUCCAGAUUCCCUAAUGGUCCUAAAUGCAGAAAAUUGUGAGUCCCUAGAGAAACUAGAUUGCUCCUUUAGCAAUCCGGGUACUUGGCUUAACUUUUCUUACUGCUUCAAACUAAAUAAAGAAGCAAGAGAUCUCCUCAUCCAGACAUCAUCUGUUAACGUUGUGGUCUUACCCUGUAAAGAAGUGCCUGCGUGCUUCACUUACAGAGGUUAUGGGAAUUCCGUAACAGUGAAGUUGAAUCAAAAGCCUCUUCCUACAUCAAUUAAAUUUAAGGCUUGUUGAAGGUUAUGGGUCGGUGUUUUGUUGCAUCAGAGACAAACUGAAUCGUUUCUCAGUCCACUCUCCAAUUAUAACGGAGCAUCUAUACAUUUUCGAAGUUGAAGUAGAGGAGGUGACUUCCACCGAGCUUGUUUUGGAUUUCGAGAUCUUCGAUUACGAUUCCAAGACUAGGGAGAUAAUAGAAUGCGGGAUAAUCCACAUCUUGGAACAUCAUGUUGAUGGCGACGAAAAGAUGGCGAUGAAGAUGGAGACAAUGUAGAUCUGAGACAAACAUUGAAACUCAAGUGAAACAGAGAAGCCACAAGACAAAAUUGCAAGGACGAAUGGUAAGUUUGCAUUUUCACAACUCAAGAACUUACUUUGUUGAUAAACUUUGCAUAACAACUGUUCAAUGAAAUGUCUAAGUGAGCUUUUUAAGUUUAAAGUGACAAUAGCUAGAACUGCAAUCUCCAAAAUGAUUUUUGAAUUCAAUCGUGUAGGGUUUAGAGCUGGAGCUUAAGAAACUCUUGAAGGUGAAGUUGAAGACGUCCAUGAAGAUCUAUUUAAGAAACAGGUACAAAACUUAUACAUUCUUUUGAUUUAUGUGUUUUGUUUGUCUUCUCAAUUCAUGACAAUACAAAUAUAAAUUGUUUGUGAUAUCUUGCUCUAGGCACAAGUAAAGUCGUUUCAAUAUGCAUUUGUCAAGUGAAUUGUGUCUUUUACCCACAUGUUCCUCUCUGUUUCUCAUUUGAAUAAUCAGUUUGUUCCUGUUUCAGUAUUGCUUAAUUCUAUUCCUGAAAUUCGUUAGAACAUAGCAAAAGUUAAAAUGGCUCUGAGAUUUUAGAGUAGGCUUCUAGUUUAUGUUCUCUGUAUGAAUGAAGACAUGCUAUUUUAUUCUAUAUGAAUAGGUGAACUAUUCCAUUUGGCCUCUCAAGUUUCACAAUUCUUGAUUUUGCUGCAACUUUUUUUGUAGCAUAUAUUGGCCUCUUGAAAUUUAGUUAUCUUUAAUUAAGGUUUAAUAAAAGUAAAAUCUGUAUGGGACUAAGAAGAACAAGUAUUGAAUGAGGUUUAUUGGGUGACAAGGCACCUAUAUAGGAACUUGACAAGUGUAAUGGAUUUGCUCAUUCUAUUAGACGGUGUAACCGAAUCAAGAUGUUGGAUUGUGUUGUAUUAGGUAGCGAAUAUGGGCGGUUACGGACAAAUGAAUUCGAAAUUUGGUGAUAGAAUUGGAAAUGUGGAUGCCAUUGAUUUUCCAAUGCAAAGCAGAAGAAUCUCAGGAGGUCUUUUCUCUUUUUUCUUGACAAGAAGUUUCAACAGCCAUUUCCACUUCCAAUUCUUAUCGAUAAUAUUCAAUUUCAACUGAAAACGAAGAACUCGUGGCUAAUUAUAUGCUGACAAAGUAUGUUAUCUUUCAUGUUAGGUGAUGUGUAAAAUUUUGUUCACUCAUUUAACUUGUAAUUAGUCUCCUAUUACAUAUAAUUUAUAAUAGACUCUAGUUAUAGGAAUCCGAACUAAAUUUCUCUUGAUAAAAAUAUGAUCGUGGUGUUCCUCGUGUUUAACAAAUUGCAAACUAUUAACUUUCAACAGAGUUGUGUGACUUGAGAAAAACAGAGGACUUUGUUGGUAUGAAGUCUCAUAGUAUAAACAGAAGACUCUGUUUCACACAGUUACGAAAAAAUCUGUAGAAAUCAAACCUUUUGUACAGAAGCAAGAAUUUUGUAACCUUCUUAGCUACAUAACAUUAACAUUGGAUCUUUAUACUCUUUGGAUUUUUCAUAAAACGACAUGAAUAUAUGUCCUCAAUACGAAACAUAGCCUGAUGCAUUAUCUCGUCGGCGCAUGUGAACUUAGAUUUAAGUCUAUAGAAUCCGUUUUUGCUAUUAAAAAAUCCAAAACCCUCUUAGAAAUAUGAUUCAACAAAUCCAAAAUCAACUAGGAAAUAUCCAUAAGCAAUAGAAACUUUCCAAGGAAUGACUUAUCUGCAUAGCCAAAUGUUAGUAUUCAGUAAUAUGAAUCAUCACUUAUGAGAUUGUUUGGUAUGAACCUUACUUUUCCUUAGAAUAACAUUUAUAUUUUCUUUAGAAGUGUCUCUGAAGUGAUUAGCUGUUAAAGAGUAAAUAGCUACAAAUUCCGUUAAUAGUGGAGGGACAAUGAUUACUCUCAUAAACCUUUAUGUUCACAGAAAUUUAUUUAUAAAGAUUAAUUGAUGGUUCUGAGUCUUUUAGAGAGUGUUGUGUGGAUUCAGCUUCUCGUUUAUGUCGUCUGUAUGACUAAGAACUGUUAUAAUUGUUUGUCAAACAUGUAAUAAACUUGAAGGAGUUGAAGAUCUAAUUUACCUACUUCAGAAAUAGGUACAAAACUUAAUUAAUCGAUACAUUCUUUGAUAUAUGUGUUUUGUUUGUCUUCUCAAUUCAUGGCAAUACAUAUAAAAAAUGUUUGUGAUAUUUAGAUGUUCAGUAAAAACUCUAGGCACAAAGUAGAGCCGUUUCAAUAUGCAUUUGCCAAAUGAAUUGUGUCUUUUUUGAUAUGGCAGAAGAGAAAUCACACAGUUACAUGUCAAAUUUAACAAAAUGGAGAUUUUGACAAAGCUCUUCUCAUAUUACAUGAUCAUGACACAUUACACUAGAGAUCACAUCCACACAAGCUUUAGUAUUUUAUCUUGUUGAAAUUGAAAUUAUCAUAAGACGAAAAAGGACUAAAUUUUUAUUAAGAAGACAAUUGACUUUUACAAUUCACCUACUAUGUUAUAACGCCAACCAAAACUUGAUUCAGGCAAGAAGUCCAAAAAAAUUCCAUUUCCUUGAACAAAAAAUAAUAAUUUAGAUGUCAUGAUAAAAAGCAGAUUAAAUUUUGCUCUGUUUUCUGUUUUUGAAUCUUUCCUUUGAUUUUUAAUGUAGUUUAGACGGCAAAAAAAAAAAAUUAUUACUUCCUCCAGCGAAAGAGGGCUGUUUCAAAGCCUCCAGCGAAACACUAUGGAAAAUCUCCAAACGUUACUUCCUUUGUCAACUCUUGAUUUUGCAUAUUGGCAAAAGUCAUGAGUAUAAUAAUAAACGUAUCAAUCGGAUAUUUUGAAGUUUUUUAAUCUUUGUAAUAAGGUGAAAUAAUUGGAUGGGUUGCAUGCAUUUUCUUAUUCAAAUUAAAUUUCUCAGAGGAAAUAUCAAUUCUAAAGAUAUUUUAUGUCACGUUCUAAGCCUAUAUACAUUCAAAUUUUAAUCCUUACCCCUACAUAACUGAAAAUUCUUCUAUCGAUCAUAGUAAUGGCUUUUUCUUCUUCUUCUUCUUCUCUUUCGAUUCCUUUAUCUUCUUCGUCUCAAAACUGGGAGUACGAUGUCUUUCCCAGCUUCCACGGGAAAGAUGUACGCAAAACCUUUCUCAGCCACCAACUGAAGGAGUUCGGAAGAAAAGCAAUCAACUUUUUUGUUGAUAACGAGAUCAAGAGAGGAGAAUUCAUCGGUCCUGAACUCAAACGGGCAAUCAAAGGAUCUAAGAUUGCUGUUGUCUUGCUCUCCAAGAAUUACGCUUCUUCUUCGUGGUGUCUUGACGAAUUGGUGGAGAUCAUGAAGAAAGAGUCGGGUCAAACGGUGAUUACCAUUUUCUAUGAAGUAGAUCCAACUGAUGUGAAGAAGCAGAAGGGAGACUUUGGGAAGGUCUUCAAAAAAACUUGCAAAGGUAAAGGCAAGGAGAAGGUUCAGACAUGGAAGAAAGCUUUGGAGGGUGUGGCCACAAUCGCGGGUUACCAUUCAAGCAACUGGUUCGUUUUCUUGAUUUAAAUUCACUUGAUUUUAAUAUUUCUAACACAUCAAACUAUAUUUGUAGCAUUCAUAGUGAUUAGUUAUUAACAAGAUGUAUGUAUAAAGUGAUCUUCCUCUUUGUUAGGGUUGAUGAAUCAACCAUGAUUGAAAACAUCGCUGCUGAAAUUUCGAACAAGCUCAAUCAUUUGACGCCGUCACGUGAUUUUGACCAUUUAAUUGGGAUGGGAGCUCAAAGUCUAUUUGUUAGUCCUUACUUUCACAUAGCUCUAUUAUUAGAUCUCUGAUCUUAAAUCUUCUCUCUAUCGUAGCAAUGGCUUCUUCUGCUCUUUCGAUUCCUUCAUCUUCUUCGUCUCAAAACUGGGAGUACGAUGUCUUUCCGAGCUUCCACGGGAAAGAUGUACGCAUAACCUUUCUCCGCCACAUUCUCAAGGAGUUUGGAAGAAAAGCAAUCAACUUUUUUGUUGAUAACGAGAUCAAGAGAGGAGAGUUCAUCGGUCCUGAACUUAAACAGGCGAUCAAAGGAUCUAAGAUUACUCUUGUCUUGCUCUCCAAGAAUUACGCAUCUUCGUCGUGGUGUCUUGAUGAAUUGGUGGAGAUCAUGAAGAAAGAGUCGGGUCAAACGGUGAUUACCAUUUUCUAUGAAGUAGAUCCAACGGAUGUAAAAAAGCAGACCGGAGAUUUUGGGAAGGCCUUCAAAGAAACUUGUCAAGGUAAAACUGAGGAGAAGGUUCAGACAUGGAAGGAAGCUUUGGAGGGUGUGGCCACAAUCGCAGGUUACCAUUCAAGCAACUGGUUAGUGUUCUUGAUUUCCACUUUCUUUUAAUUCUAACACAUCAAGCCAUAUAUCUUUAAUUGUAACGUUCGAACUGAAUGUAGACAAGAGAGUCAUAAUUGAUCUUGCUCUUUGGUAGGAUUGAUGAAGCAACCACGAUCGAAAAGAUUGCUGCUGAUAUUUUAUUGGAGAUAAGCAAGAUGUGUAUCUUGCGGACCAAGUAAUAUGGACCGUUAAAGUCCAUUAUGAAGUGAAGCCCGUGAAGCCUAAACCGAAGAAUAUUCUAGAUCUCUAUAUUACUUCUUGUACAAGUUAUUUACUUAUAUGUUUAGGAAAGUUUACAUUAUGUGGGUGUUAACAUUAUGUUAAUGUUAACACUAUAUAUAUGUAUCUUAUAUUUUCAUAUGAGAGAAAACUCAAUAAAGUAUUUUAUAGAUUCUAUAAUAUUUGACAUGGUAUCAGAGCAGUCGAUCCUUGUGGAUCUGAAUUAAAUGCUUCCGCAUUAAAAAUCUUGUGGUCACAAUAACCAUGGGAUGUGAAGCCAUCGAAGACGGUGGUGACGAAGACGAUCCGGAUGAUGACGUGAAGCAAAGUUUGCUUUGACGUCCACAUGAGAGUUUUAUAUUUCUUUUAUUCUAAGUUAAUGUUUUAGGUUGAUUUUGAGUUUAUGAUUUGGUUUAGCACAAGAAUUAGAGAUCUUUGAGGAAUUAUUAUGUUUUAAGGGUUUGGGAUUUCACAAGUAGUUGUUUAUUUAUGAGAUUUAUUCUUGAGUUUAGAAUAUCUCAUUUUUUUAAUGUGAGUUUUGAUUUCUCAUAUUACGGGGGAGUUUAUUGGAACACUCAUGUUUUAGGCUAUUUUUAGUCCGGUUUGUGGACUGUCCGAGAUAGGACGAUUAUUUGUGGAGUUGCAGGAUUUGCGCCCACGGAAUAUUGUUAUUCCCUUUUACUAAGACCAAAGACGAGCUGAAGUUCCAUCCUCUUUUGAAAAUUGAAGUUUAUACCUGAGGAGACUGUUGACAUGAUUUGUCCGUCCUCGACAUGAUGUCCACGACAUAGGUGUUCUGCUUUGUCGUUGCAUAUUUUGCGUUUCGCAUCCCACCUUUGUCGUGCGGGGGAGUAUUGGAGAUAAGCAAGAUGUGUAUCUUGCGGACCAAGUAAUAUGGACCGUUAAAGUCCAUUAUGAAGUGAAGCCCGUGAAGCCUAAACCGAAGAAUAUUCUAGAUCUCUAUAUUACUUCUUGUACAAGUUAUUUACUUAUAUGUUUAGGAAAGUUUACAUUAUGUGGGUGUUAACAUUAUGUUAAUGUUAACACUAUAUAUAUGUAUCUUAUAUUUUCAUAUGAGAGACAACUCAAUAAAGUAUUUUAUAGAUUCUAUAAUAUUUGACAUAUUUCGAAAAUGCUUAAUCAUUUGACGUUGUCACGUGAUUUUGACCAUUUAAUUGGGAUGGAAGCUCAUAUGGAAAGGAUGGAACAGUUUUUACGUCUAGAUUUGGAUGAAGUGAGGAUGAUUGGGAUUUGGGGUCCGGCUUGGAUUGGGAAGACCACCAUCGCCAGGUUUUUGUUUAACCAAGUCUCAAGCAGUUUCCAAAAUAGCGCAAUAAUGGUAAAUAUCAAAGGAAGCUAUCCAAGACCUUGUCGAGAUGUGUACAAAGCAAAGUUGAAACUACAGAAAAAAAUGUUGUCCCAUAUGAUCAACCAGAAAGAUAUCGUGAUUUCUCAUUUAGGAGUCGCACAAGAACGAUUGAGACACAGGACAGUGCUUCUCGUGCUUGACGAUGUGGAUCAGUUUGCACAACUAGAAGCCUUGGCUAAAGAUGUUAAAUGGUUUGGUCCUAGAAGUCGGAUUAUCAUCACAACAGAAGAUCUAAGACUUUUGAAGAAGCAUGGGAUCAACCAUAUAUACAAGGUUGAUUUUCCAUCAAAUGAUGAGGCUCUUCAAAGGUUCUGCAUGUAUGCUUUUAACCAAAAGACCCCUGAAGAUGGUUUCGAUGCACUUGCUCGUGAAAUUACAUACCUUGUCGGUGAACUUCCUUUAGGACUAAAGGUUAUUGGAUCCCACUUUCGAAGAUUGUCCAAGGAGCAGUGGUCAAUGGAAGUAUCAAGGUUAAGGACUAACCUUGAUGGAGAUAUUGAGAGCAUUUUGAAGUUCAGUUAUGAUGCUUUAUGUGAUGAAGAUAAAGAAUUAUUCCUUCCUAUAGCUUGCCUUUUCAACCUAGUAGAUAUAAAGAUAUUAGAAGAACUUAUUGGCAAAAGAUUCAAGGAUUUGAGACGAAGGCUUUACGUUUUAGAGGAGAAAUCUCUCAUAUCUAUUGAAAUUUUGUUUGACUAUGGGUAUAUAAAGUAUGAGUAUAUAAUGAUGCAUAAUUUGAUGGCCCAACUAGGUAAAGAAAUCGUCCUUAAAGAAUUUCGUGAGCCUGGGCAUCGCCAAUUUUUGAAUGAUUAUAAAGAUAAUUGUGAAGUAGUCUCAAUAGUAAGUUUUGCCAUUAUUUUUUCAUUGCACUGCUCAUCAUAACUUGAGUUUAUUUUAACAUCUCUACUUAUUUUUUGUUCAUUUUUCUCAGAUUGUUGGGACUGUUGUAGGUGAGAAAACCUUUGAAGGAAUGCCUAAUCUCCAGUUCUUAAGAGUCGGAUACAUUCCUGAUCAUCCAAACAUUAU